UCCGGGGGGAGCAAGCGUUGUUCGGAUUUACUGGGCGUAAAGGGCGCGUAGGCGGCCGCCGCAAGUCAAUUGUGAAAUCUCCGGGCUUAACUCGGAAAGGUCAACUGAUACUGCGGGGCUAGAGUGCGGAAGGGGCAACUGGAAUUCUCGGUGUAGCGGUGAAAUGCGUAGAUAUCGAGAGGAACACCGAUGGCGAAGGCAGGUCUCUGGGCCACUACUGACGCUGAGAAGCGAAAGCAUGGGGAGCGAACAGG
Molecule: ribosomal RNA, 254 nt
Filed under: uncultured bacterium
Lineage: Bacteria
Description: partial 16S ribosomal RNA
Rfam family: Bacterial small subunit ribosomal RNA
Source: RNAcentral